UACGAAGGGGGCUAGCGUUGUUCGGAAUCACUGGGCGUAAAGCGCACGUAGGCGGCGCGUUAAGUCAGGGGUGAAAUCCUGGAGCUCAACUCCAGAACUGCCUUUGAUACUGGCGUGCUCGAGUGUGGGAGAGGUUGGUGGAACUCCGAGUGUAGAGGUGAAAUUCGUAGAUAUUCGGAAGAACACCAGUGGCGAAGGCGGCCAACUGGCCCAUUACUGACGCUCAGGUUCGAAAGCGUUGGGAGCUAACAGG
Molecule: ribosomal RNA, 253 nt
Filed under: uncultured bacterium
Lineage: Bacteria
Description: partial 16S ribosomal RNA
Rfam family: Bacterial small subunit ribosomal RNA
Source: RNAcentral